This 86-nucleotide transfer RNA is filed under the name Thioclava dalianensis. RNAcentral's name for it is "tRNA-Leu". It matches the Rfam family "tRNA". Rfam says of the family: Transfer RNA (tRNA) molecules are approximately 80 nucleotides in length. Their secondary structure includes four short double-helical elements and three loops (D, anti-codon, and T loops). RNAcentral also lists the same sequence under 1 other name. Lineage: Bacteria; Pseudomonadati; Pseudomonadota; Alphaproteobacteria; Rhodobacterales; Paracoccaceae. The record is from RNAcentral.
GCGGGCGUGGCGAAAUGGUAGACGCAUGGGACUUAAACUCCCUGGGCCGAGAGGCCGUGCCGGUUCAAGUCCGGCCGCCCGUACCA